Molecule: ribosomal RNA, 612 nt
Filed under: uncultured bacterium
Lineage: Bacteria
Description: bacterial SSU rRNA
Rfam family: Bacterial small subunit ribosomal RNA
Source: RNAcentral
CCUACGGGAGGCAGCAGUGAGGAAUAUUGGACAAUGGGCGCAAGCCUGAUCCAGCCAUGCCGCGUGCAGGAUGACGGUCCUAUGGAUUGUAAACUGCUUUUGCACAGGAAGAAACAACAUUACGUGUAAUGUCCUGACGGUACUGUGAGAAUAAGGAUCGGCUAACUCCGUGCCAGCAGCCGCGGUAAUACGGAGGAUCCAAGCGUUAUCCGGAAUCAUUGGGUUUAAAGGGUCCGUAGGCGGUUUAGUAAGUCAGUGGUGAAAGCCCAUCGCUCAACGGUGGAACGGCCAUUGAUACUGCUAGACUUGAAUUAUUAGGAAGUAACUAGAAUAUGUAGUGUAGCGGUGAAAUGCUUAGAGAUUACAUGGAAUACCAAUUGCGAAGGCAGGUUACUACUAAUGGAUUGACGCUGAUGGACGAAAGCGUGGGUAGCGAACAGGAUUAGAUACCCUGGUAGUCCACGCCGUAAACGAUGGAUACUAGCUGUUGGGGGCAACUUCAGUGGCUAAGCGAAAGUGAUAAGUAUCCCACCUGGGAGUACGUUCGCAAGAAUGAAACUCAAAGAGUAGUACGACGAGNGAGAGACGACGGACGACGACGAGGAGGAGGNG